AGAGUUUGAUCAUGGCUCAGAUUGAACGCUGGCGGCAUGCCUAACACAUGCAAGUCGAACGGUAACAGGCCGCAAGGUGCUGACGAGUGGCGGACGGGUGAGUAAUACGUAGGUAUCUGCCCUGUAGUGGGGGAUAACCCGGGGAAACUCGGGCUAAUACCGCAUACGCUCUUUUAUCGUUGAGAUAGGAGAGGAAAGCGAGGGACCGAAAGGCCUCGCGCUAGAGGAUGAGCCUACGCCCGAUUAGCUAGUUGGUAGGGUAAAAGCCUACCAAGGCGACGAUCGGUAGCUGGUCUGAGAGGAUGGCCAGCCACACUGGGACUGAGACACGGCCCAGACUCCUACGGGAGGCAGCAGUGGGGAAUAUUGGACAAUGGGGGAAACCCUGAUCCAGCGAUGCCGCGUGGGUGAAGAAGGCCUGCGGGUUGUAAAGCCCUUUCAGUGGGGAAGAAAAACGGGGUGUGAAAAGCGCUUCGUCUUGACGUUACCCACAGAAGAAGCACCGGCUAACUCCGUGCCAGCAGCCGCGGUAAUACGGAGGGUGCGAGCGUUAAUCGGAAUUACUGGGCGUAAAGGGCGCGUAGGCGGUUAGGUAAGUCGAGUGUGAAAGCCCUGGGCUUAACCUGGGAAUGGCAUUCGAGACUACCUAUCUAGAGUCUGGUAGAGGGAAGUGGAAUUUCCGGUGUAGCGGUGAAAUGUGUAGAUAUCGGAAGGAACACCAGUGGCGAAGGCGACUUCCUGGACCAAGACUGACGCUGAGGCGCGAAAGCGUGGGGAUCAAACAGGAUUAGAUACCCUAGUAGUCC
This 806-nucleotide ribosomal RNA is filed under the name uncultured bacterium. Its description in RNAcentral is "bacterial SSU rRNA". It matches the Rfam family "Bacterial small subunit ribosomal RNA", at positions 8 to 796 of the family's 1533-position model. RNAcentral also lists the same sequence under 1 other name. The record is from RNAcentral.